AUUGAACGCUGGCGGCAGGCUUAACACAUGCAAGUCGAGCGGGGUGAUGGUGCUUGCACUAUCACUUAGCGGCGGACGGGUGAGUAAUGCUUAGGAAUCUGCCUAUUAGUGGGGGACAACAUCUCGAAAGGGAUGCUCAUACCGCAUACGUCCUACGGGAGAAAGCAGGGGAUCACUUGUGACCUUGCGCUACUAGAUGAGCCUAAGUCGGAUUAGCUAGUUGGCGGGGUAAAGGCCUACCAAGGCGACGAUCUGUAGCGGGUCUGAGAGGAUGAUCCGCCACACUGGGACUGAGACACGGCCCAGACUCCUACGGGAGGCAGCAGUGGGGAAUAUUGGACAAUGGGGGGAACCCUGAUCCAGCCAUGCCGCGUGUGUGAAGAAGGCCUUAUGGUUGUAAAGCACUUUAAGCGAGGAGGAGGCUCUUUUGGUUAAUACCCAAGAUGAGUGGACGUUACUCGCAGAAUAAGCACCGGCUAACUCUGUGCCAGCCGCCGCCGUAA
RNAcentral lists this ribosomal RNA (503 nucleotides) under uncultured bacterium. RNAcentral's name for it is "partial 16S ribosomal RNA". It matches the Rfam family "Bacterial small subunit ribosomal RNA", at positions 30 to 523 of the family's 1533-position model. The record is from RNAcentral.